CUAGAGAUUUUUUUAAACGGCUGCAAUUAGUAGUUGUGCUAAGGUAGCGUAAUCAUUUGCCCCUUAAUUAGGGGAAGGUAUGAAUGGUUUGACGUGGGAAAAGCUGUCUCUUUUAUAUAAAAGGAAGUUUAUUUUUGAGUGAAAAAGCUUAGAUGUUUAUAAAAGACGAGAAGACCCUAUCGAACUUGAAUUGUGUGUUAUAGAUUUAUUAUACAGAAAGUUUAGUUGGGGAAACUUAAAGUUAAGAAAAACGCUUUUUUGUUGUAAAAUGAUCCUGUAUUAUAGAAAAAUGAAAAAGUUACCGUAGGGAUAACAGCGCUUUCUUCUCUGAGAGGACUAAUCAAAGAGUUGGUUGCGACCUCG
This 363-nucleotide ribosomal RNA is filed under the name Pisidium sp. TS-2022_L4. RNAcentral describes it as "partial 16S rRNA". It matches the Rfam family "Bacterial large subunit ribosomal RNA", at positions 1911 to 2528 of the family's 2925-position model. Lineage: Eukaryota; Metazoa; Mollusca; Bivalvia; Venerida; Sphaeriidae. The record is from RNAcentral.